GCCCGGGUGGUGGAACUGGCAGACACGUUAGCCUUAGGAGCUAAUGCUGAAAGGCGUGGAGGUUCGAGUCCUCUCCCGGGCACCA
RNAcentral lists this transfer RNA (85 nucleotides) under Candidatus Peregrinibacteria bacterium. RNAcentral describes it as "tRNA-Leu". It matches the Rfam family "tRNA". From Rfam's summary of the family: Transfer RNA (tRNA) molecules are approximately 80 nucleotides in length. Their secondary structure includes four short double-helical elements and three loops (D, anti-codon, and T loops). Further hydrogen bonds mediate the characteristic L-shaped molecular structure. tRNAs have two regions of fundamental functional importance: the anti-codon, which is responsible for specific mRNA codon recognition, and the 3' end, to which the tRNAs corresponding amino acid is attached (by aminoacyl-tRNA synthetases). tRNAs cope with the degeneracy of the genetic code in two manners: having more than one tRNA (with a specific anti-codon) for a particular amino acid; and 'wobble' base-pairing, i.e. permitting non-standard base-pairing at the 3rd anti-codon position. The record is from RNAcentral. Lineage: Bacteria; Candidatus Peregrinibacteriota.